RNAcentral lists this microRNA precursor (56 nucleotides) under Heligmosomoides polygyrus. RNAcentral describes it as "microRNA hpo-mir-10031c precursor". Lineage: Eukaryota; Metazoa; Nematoda; Chromadorea; Rhabditida; Heligmosomidae. The record is from miRBase by way of RNAcentral.
AUGAGGUGGACUUGCGGCAGAACUCAAUAAGAUUCUCGUCCAUGUCUUCCUUAUAC